Molecule: ribosomal RNA, 433 nt
Filed under: uncultured bacterium
Lineage: Bacteria
Description: bacterial SSU rRNA
Rfam family: Bacterial small subunit ribosomal RNA
Source: RNAcentral
UGGGGAAUAUUGCGCAAUGGGCGAAAGCCUGACGCAGCGACGCCGCGUGAGGGAGGAAGGCCCUAUGGGUCGUAAACCUCUUUUGUCAGGGAACAAAAGCGAGUAUGUAUACUAGUCUGAGUGUACCUGAAGAAAAAGCAUCGGCUAACUCCGUGCCAGCAGCCGCGGUAAUACGGAGGAUGCGAGCGUUAUCCGGAUUUAUUGGGUUUAAAGGGUGCGUAGGCGGCGGUGCAAGUCAGCGGUAAAAGCCCGGGGCUCAACCCCGGCGAGCCGUUGAAACUGCAGUGCUAGAGAAGGCGAGAGGUACGCGGAAUGCGCAGUGUAGCGGUGAAAUGCUUAGAUAUUGCGCAGAACUCCGAUUGCGAAGGCAGCGUACUGGCGCCUGACUGACGCUGAGGCACGAAAGCGUGGGGACCGAACAGGAUUAGAUACC